RNAcentral lists this ribosomal RNA (25 nucleotides) under Acremonium sp. r421. RNAcentral describes it as "partial 28S ribosomal RNA". The record is from RNAcentral. Lineage: Eukaryota; Fungi; Ascomycota; Sordariomycetes; Hypocreales; Bionectriaceae.
GUGACCUCAGAUCAGGUNGGGAACC